RNAcentral lists this ribosomal RNA (206 nucleotides) under uncultured Bacillota bacterium. Its description in RNAcentral is "uncultured Firmicutes bacterium partial 16S ribosomal RNA". It matches the Rfam family "Bacterial small subunit ribosomal RNA", at positions 568 to 774 of the family's 1533-position model. Lineage: Bacteria; Bacillati; Bacillota. The record is from RNAcentral.
UGCGUAGGUGGUUGUUUAAGCGUGGGGUGAAAGGCAAUAGCUUAACUAUUGUAAGCCCCGCGAACUGGGCGACUUGAGUGCAGGAGAGGAAAGCGGAAUUCCUAGUGUAGCGGUGAAAUGCGUAGAUAUUAGGAGGAACACCAGUGGCGAAGGCGGCUUUCUGGACUGUAACUGACACUGAGGCACGAAAGCGUGGGGAGCAAACA